This is an RNA transcript of Xiphias gladius (swordfish), 8901 nucleotides long. It is a transcript of the gene named protein crumbs homolog 1-like, with no coding region annotated. The record is from RefSeq and is a predicted model, not a curated record. The transcript is spliced from 17 exons. NCBI's taxonomy places the organism in Eukaryota, Metazoa, Chordata, Actinopteri, Istiophoriformes, Xiphiidae.
GUGAAAACAAUACCAGCCUAAUACUAAUAGAGAGAAAAUAUAUUUGUUUGUUUAUGAGUCCAAUAGAUCUCCCUCUGUCUCACAGGGGCCCUGCACUUAAAAUUUUGCUCUUUAACACAACAGGAGAGAGGGAGUCUGCUGCUUUACUCAGACUGCUGGUGCCCUGCCAGUUUGACCAGGCACUGUUCUGCCCCAACAUUACUGAAACACCUAUUAACAAUACAGCACCUGUUGGCUCGCUGCAGAGAAAACCAGAGCAGCUAGCAGAGACUGAAUGCAACAGAAACAAUACAUAACCACCAUCGCCACCUGGUGACCAGCUCUGUAAGUCAGAGCCUGGUGUUCCCCUGCAUCCUGAGCGCCCUCCAGUGGAUCAACCAGGGAAAUCAGUUGAUGUUGACCCCAUCUGGAUCACUGGGCUUCACUGAGCUCCCUGACAGGCUGAGAGAGGCAGGUCAAGUCUCUGUGCUGGUGACCGGCAGUCUGCACCUGGUGGGAGGAGUACUGAAACAUCUUGAACCUUCACUGGACUCAUAGAAGCCCAGCUUGGUCCCCAGAGAGAAUCACUCACACUCCAGGACAUACAAUCACACACACUCAUACACAGAGUCCUAGCGGACUGGCAUGGAGGUGCUGCCGCUUACUCUCAGCAGCUAACUUGGAGCACCCUGGAUGGAGUGCUGCAUUGCACUUGAUGGAGAACCUUUGACUGAAAGCAUCGUUCUGCACUAACUGGAAACCUCAGCAGACUGCUUUACCAUGGAGUUUGGAAGAGUUUGGUCCAGAUAUCAGAGGACAGUGCUGAUCACCAUGAUGAUGUUCAAACUGGGUCUUCUGUGCACAGUUGCAGCAGACAAGUGUCUAUCAUCUCCCUGCAACAAUGGUGCCACGUGUCUUGCCCACCUGGAUGACUAUGUGUGCCUGUGCCCCAAAGGACCAGUGUGGUACAUGGGCAAAAACUGUGAUGAGCUGUAUGAUGCCUGUAUCAUUUCACCUUGCACCAACUGUACUAGCUCACCUGGGGCUGUUGAGUUCACCUGCCACUGCCCGGACGGCUUCACAGGGCUCAACUGCACCCAGGAUGUAGAUGAAUGUCACAGCAAUCCCUGUAUUGGUAUCAAGUCCUACUGUGUCAACGAAAUCAACGGAUAUUCCUGUCAUUGUCCCACUGGAUUAGGAGGGGAGGAAUGCCAGGAUAAUGUGACCACUUGUUCAGAGGAGAAAUGCCAGAAUGGUGGCACCUGUGUGGACAUCAAUGACAUUGGGCACCGGUGCCAGUGUGCUGCUGGGUACCAGGGGACGAACUGUGAGGAGAACACUGAUGAAUGCCAGUCUGAACCCUGUCAGAACGGAGCCAUCUGUAAAGACGGGGUCAACGCCUACCAGUGUUUCUGUGUGCCUGGAUUUCAAGGCUACCACUGUGAUUUAGACAUCAAUGAGUGUGCCUCCCGACCCUGUCAAAACAAUGGUACAUGUCUGGAUGAAGUGGAUCACUACAUGUGUGACUGUGCUCCAGGCUUCAAAGGGAUUAACUGCGAGGUGGAGAUCAAUGAGUGCGAGGAGCAUCCCUGCCAGAAUGGUGCCACCUGCCAAGACUACGUUGCCACAUACAGGUGUGAGUGCAUGGCCGGCUUCCAGGGCCAAGACUGCGAGGUCAAUAUUGAUGAAUGUGCCAGCAUGCCCUGUCUGAAUGAGGGAAAGUGCAUAGACGGGGUCAACAGCUAUGAAUGUGACUGUGAGGGGACAGGCUUUGUAGGCGACCACUGUGAAGAGGAUAUUCCUGAAUGUGCUUCUGACCCCUGCAAGAAUGGAGCCACCUGCUUGGAGGGAAUCAACCAGUACAAGUGCCUUUGCUGGCCAGGUUAUGAGGGAGAUAACUGCCAGGUGGAUAUAGAUGAGUGUGAGCAGCAUCCCUGUGAGAAUGGUGGCGAGUGUUUCCAGCGAUCAGAUACCCUUAACUACAGGAUUUUGCCUGAACUCAACACAACCAAUCUCACAUACGAAGGGGCAGCUGGCUUCAUCUGCCACUGUCUGCCAGGGUUCACCGGAGACAACUGCUCAGUCAAUGUGGACGAAUGUGAGUCUGCUCCAUGUCAGCAUGGAGGAAUCUGCCAGGAUCUGGUCAACUCUUAUCGAUGUGUGUGUCCAAACGGCUUCACAGGUGUACACUGUGAGGAAGACAUAAACGAGUGUGACAGCUAUCCCUGCCAGAAUGGUGCCAAGUGUGAAGAUGCCGCCAACUCCUACAGGUGUCACUGCCCGAUGCCAGAGCCUGCCCAGGAGCCCUGGGGUGGGCGACACUGUGAUGUCCGCCUGGUGGGCUGCCAACAGCAUCAGUGUCAACACAAAGCAGGUUGUGUCCCCAUGCUUACCGAUGAUGGACAGCACAGCUACACCUGCCUGUGUCCGCCUGGCUGGGCUGGAGAACACUGCAACACUUCAACCACCUUCUCCUUUAACUCAGAGGGCUACAUCCACAUGCAGCUGCCUAUUUCCAAAAACAGGACUAGGCGAGAGACUGAUGACCAUAACACUGGGCUCCACAUGCAGCUCCGAUUCAAGAGCACUCUCCCUGACAUGUUGCUUUACUUCCGGGGCACCAUGGAGCACUUCUUCUCCUUGGAGCUUGUUAGUGGCUCCCUCAAGGCCAUGUUGAAGUCAGGAAAGGUACUACAAGUCAUUUACCCUGGCCGGGUCAAUGAUGGAGAAUGGCACCAGGUCUCUGUGACCAUGGAUGAGAGGCUGGUUCUGGUUGUAAAAGGACUUGACUGUGAGGAAGGGUGUCAGGUGAAGAAUGAGGGCCACAACCAUCUGAUCUUCCUACAGCCCAGCUCCUUUCAACAGCUGUAUGUAGGAGGGGCACCUCAGGAAUAUUUAGGCCAUACAUCCAAUGGGAGGGGGUUCAUUGGGUGUAUGGAAGACCUUCAUGUUGACCAUAAGCUGCUUCUGCCUCAGGACCUCAUCAGAGAGGAGAACCAGGGCUUGGAACUGGGAUGUACAAAAAAAGACUGGUGUCACGAGGACCCAUGCAUGCAACGUGGGCAGUGUGUGGACAUGUGGGUUCGUGCCAGUUGUCAGUGUCACCGGCCCUACUACGGAGAAAGCUGUGAGAAAGCAUACCCAUCCUGGACUUUCGGCUAUGAGAACACCAACAGCUACGCUGCCUUCAAUAUCUCGGAAAACCAUGGAGACAACUUCACCAUUUCCUUUUUGAUGCGCUCCCUCAAACCCAACGGUCUGCUUUUGCAGCUCAGUCGAGAAGGAAAGCCCUACCUGACAAUCUACCUGAAGGAAGGCACCGUUGCUAUUUACAGCCCUCACACCACACUGCUGUCAGAAGACAAAUUUGUCACUGAUGGCAACACUAAUUUGGUGACUGUUAAGGUACACUAUGGCCAUGUGGUCUUCCCCAAAGCGGGGAACCACCGUGCCUUAGGGAACGUGAGUGUAGAGGCAGGGGAUGUGGCGUAUGUUGGAGGGCUCCCUGUAGGCAAGAGCAUGAAUGCCUGGGGUGGAAACUUCAAGGGCUGCCUGCAGGACAUUCGGCUGGACCACAAGCAUCUGACUGCUGAAGCUCAUCCUGAGAGGGUGGAGGUUUACCAGGCGAGCACAGAGAACGUGUUGCCAGGAUGCCAUAGUGAUGACACAUGCAAGGAUGAGCCCUGUUUCAAUGGCGGUCAGUGUCAGGUCACCUGGAAUGACUUCAAGUGUAACUGUUCCAUUAACUACUCAGGCCGGCUGUGUGAGACACGUCGAUGGUGUGUUGACAACCCUUGUUUUGAUGGAGUGCGCUGUGUGGACCUGCAGGAUGGUUAUGAGUGUUUGACUGAAGCCAUUUUUCAGGACAACUCUCUCCAGUAUGUUGCCAACAGCUCCCUGCUGAGCCCUGUAAUCAACAUCACAAUGGACAUACGGACACGAGACGAGAAUGGAAUCUUGUUACGGGCCACCAGCAGAUCCGAGGUCUUCUGCCUGGGACUGCUCAACUCCUCCCUGCUGGUCAAACUGGACAGUGGGUUGAGUACUGAGCUGCUGGCCUUCACAAGUGAUAGGACUAUUGCAGAUGGAGUGUGGCACCAUAUCCAGCUGACCAUGGUCGACCCUGCACAGCCAGUGUCCCGCUGGCGCCUUACUGUGGAUGGGCAGAGAGCGGGUGGCAGCUUUGGUGCUGGCGGCAACCUCAACUUCCUCAAUCAUACUAAAAUCUGGCUGGCUGAGAAAUACACUGGAUGUUUAGGGGAGGUGAGAGUGGGUGGAGUCUACCUGCCACUCAUUAAUGUACCAGAUACCCCUCAGGUGAGCCAGUUCUACAGACUGGGUGGGCGUGAGCCAAUCAUAGGAUGCCAAGGUGCACCAAUUUGUGAUUCCCAGCCCUGCCUCAACCAGGGCGAGUGUCAGGACCAGUUUAAUGAGUUUAAUUGCAGCUGCAGCUCAGGAUGGGAGGGGGAGCUGUGUGAGAUAGAGAUAAAUGAGUGUUCUUCAGGUCCCUGUGUCUACGGUACAUGUAAAGACCUCCAGGCAGACUAUAAGUGUGACUGUGAGCCUGGAUACACAGGUAAAGACUGUCAGGAGGAGUUGGAUAACUGUCUGGAGUUCAGCUGUGUGAACGGAGGAACCUGCCUGGAAACGGUGGAAACUCUCACGUGUUCAUGUCCUCCUGGCUAUGUCGGCAAGCGCUGCCAGUGGCGUUUCCCUCCAGUGGCAUGUGAUGCAAAAACAGAAUGUCUUAAUGGAGGGGUUUGUAUAGGAGGCAACUCUGGUGGAAAUUGCACCUGCAAACCUGGAUACACUGGUGCCAGGUGUGAGACAGAAAUAGACGAGUGUCAGUCCAGCCCUUGUCUCAACGGUGCCACCUGUCUGGACAGACUCAACCACUUCCAGUGUGUGUGUGUUCCGGGCUUCAGUGGCAUUCUGUGUGAGAGCAACCAGAAAGAGGAGCAUAAGGAGCGAGUUCCCUGGCUUGCUGUGACCAUCCCUCUCACCACCCUGUGUGUGUUACUCGCCAUCCUGGUGGUGUUUUUCCUCAUCAUGACGGCCCGGAAGAAACGUCAAUCUGAGGGCACAUACAGCCCCAGCUCACAGGAGGUAGCUGGUGCCAGGCUGGAGAUGGGCAGUGUCCUCAAAGUGCCGCCAGAGGAGAGGCUGAUCUGAGUCCUGCAGCCCUGCCUCUUACAUCUAGUGGAUGCAUCUAUCUAUACGGCCUAGAGAACACUUACUCUGCAGUGUCACACUGCUGGGCUCUCUCACCCUACAGGGAAAUGCUGGAGGAUAAGUCAAUGACUGAUCCUCUGCCUAGGAAAACUACUGACGUUGAAGCCUCAGAGGUGGACAGGUUUUCAUUCAUCCAAAGACUCCACCAGCUUCUGUCACUGAGUAGUCCCUCCUUAUCUAAACUGCUGCAGUCUUCACUGUGAAUAAAAAGAUGCAAACAGUUCAGGUGAUGGAACAUAUCUCUCCAGAACCCUCUCCAAUGUGCAGAUGGACACCACUGCAGCUUCUGCAGGCAUCAAAAACUGUUUUGUUAUAAUUACUGUCAAUGUGCACUGUAUGGCUAACACGCUAACCACUUUACCAAUUUUUGUUAUUGUGUAAGUAUGCUAUGAGUGUUUUUAUCCAUGUAAUUGUGUUGUGUAUAAUUUGUUUCAAAAGUUCAAGUCACUGUAUUUUGGUUUUGUUACAUCUUCAAGGGAAACGGUAUUUAAUUGUAGAAAUCUUUUUUGGCAAAGGUGGUCACAUUAGGAUUUGUGGACAUAAAUAACCAAGUGUCACAAAUUAAAAGGGAGAAUUAAUUUGCAAAGAAUGUCUAAUUGUAGUUAACAUUUUUCUUUCCAAGAGUGAGUUAAGAAGAAUUAAGCCUAUCUGUAUGUGUUAAAUACAGAGCUGGAGGCAGAUAUAGUUAGCCUUGCUUAGAAUAAAGACUGAACGCAGGGGGAGACAGCUAGCAAGGCUCUUUUCAGAGUGAAAAGAUAUACCUACUAACACCUCUAAAGCUCACUGAUAAACACAUUACAUCUCAAUUGUUUAAUCCACACACAAACAAAUGUAAAAGUUAAUGACUAUUUGUAAUUAUUAGGGGACUAUUUCUUGGCAAACAGCAGCUGGGUGCAGUGACUGUGUACAGGUCACAGUGUUGUUGCCAGGUUUGGUACAAUCAUUCCAGUAGAGACUGAAUCUAAAACCUGUCUUCAGAUUGUUUCUGGCAACACAACCAACAGCCAGAGACAAUGCACAGAAAUAGCGGAUGGACGGAGAAAGUGUUGUGUGAUUCUCCCUUAAACCAGAAGGUGUAAUUUUUACUUUUAAUUUGGUGUAUGCAUUAAACAAACAUACAAUGUGUUACCUAUUGAAAUUUACAUGUGUUUGUAGACAUAUUUUUGAACUUUGGACAGAGCUGUUCCCCCCCUGCUUCCAGUCUUUGCACCAAGCUAGGCUAACCACUUCCUGACUCCAGCUCUGUACUCAACACACAGAUAUAAGGUUGCUAUCCAUCCCCUUAUCUCCCUCUUGGAAAAAAAAAAGAAACAUAAAGGUAUUGUUUAUGUCAGUAAUAUAGUGUCAAGUCACCAUUUUCAUUUAUACAAUCUAAUGAGGAUGCUAAAGAUAAACCUACUAUCUAGCUUUGGAAUAAUGUUUCACAAAUACUGAUUAGACCAUCCUUGACCUUAAUAGUGUGGCAAAGGAUUCUUCAUUUCAGUUAAGAAUUUUUAAACUGUGAAUUUGCCCUUACUGUCUUAUGCAACUAUUCUCAUAUCUGUACCCCAGGAAGUCACACCACUCACUUGCCUUUCACGCUGUAGUCACCAGUGCUGCUAACUUUACUAAACCAGUUAACUAGAAUGCAGACUGACACUCUGUGCCAGUUUCAUGCUAAUAGAGAAAGAACAGUUUGUGAAAUGGAAGAUACAUGCAAGUCACAGCUGAAUAUGAAUUAGUAAAACACUGGUCAAUAAUAUCGAAUGUAGUAUUACAUGUCUUCUUAAAGGGGCAAAAAGUAGGAAUUUGAUCAUGACCUAUCCUUUGUUGGGCUGUUUUUUGUCUAGGCCUCUUUGUUUCAAUGAAGGGAAAUCUUAGUGGUACAGCAUACAGUAAUAUUUCAGACAACAGUGCUUCAAGCUUCAUUGCACCAGUUUCAUUCUUUUCUUUUCCUUUUUCAGCAUGAUAAUGUGCACAAAGCCAGAUACAUAAAGAAUUGUUUUUUUCCCAGUUUUGUGUGGAAGGGCAUGCACAGAGCCCUAAACUCAAUCCCAUUCAACAACUUCUGGAAGAAUUAGGACACCAACUGUGAGCCAGACCUUAUCAUCCAACACCAGUGUGGGACCUCACUAAUACUCUUGUGGCUAAAUGGGAGCAAAUCCCUGCAACCAGGUUCAACAUCUGGUGGAAAGGUUUUGGAAAUACAUGUUCUGGAGAUAGAUAUGGGUGUAAUGUUCAGGUGUCCGUAUACUUUUUGGGUCAGAUCUACCAGAGGGCAGGACCCUCCAAGGAUUCAGUAAUACUCCGGCUUAUGUUUAUGUUUCACUACAAAUGCAGAAAUCUGAUGUGAUUUACUAAGUAGAGUAGAAAAAUGAAAAAAAGUUUUAAAAAUUUCUGACCCAUCAAGGCAUUUAGUGUAAGUAUGCCCUCAUAAAAAGUGGCUUCUUUAUCAUUUACAGUAAAUUCAUGUCUUCAUUUGGGACAAAUUUUAAUUAGAGAAAGGCUUUGUAAUUUUGCCGGCUUCCCUGUCAAUAUAAACUUCUUCCAUGUUUACCUGUUGUCUUUUUAAAGUCAAUAUAACAUCCAUUUCCACAGUACUAAUUUCAUUUACAAGGAGUCAGGUCAGGCAUUUAUCUUUGCAUUUUUCUGUGAAUGAUGUUAAGCUACCAUGAAUGAAACACAACACAUCCUUCAUAAUUUUCAAAUAAAAUUCUUGUAGCCUUCUGUUUAUAACUAGGCUUUUAAUGUGAAGGAAAAAAAAGUGUUGAGUUUUGUUGAGGGCAGUUUAACAUCAAUCAGAAUUACGGCAAAAAAGAAACAACUUGAAUUACAGUACGAAAUCAAAGAAACUCAGAGCAGCAGUACUAUUGUACUGAGGGAAUUAUUGCUAUAGAAAUGGGCAUUAUACCAUAGUUUACCACACAAGCUAUUGUAGUAGGCUAAAGGUAAUUCCACCCCACUCAAUAUUUUUUUACCCAGCCUAGACUGGCGUUUAUUUGUUCAUUCAGGCUAUUACUUGAAACCCAACCAUUGUAUGAAUACUAGCUUUUAUAUAAGAAUUUACUGUAUGAGGAUGCAGGGCUCCCUCCUUGUAGUGUUAAAUAAAGGUCAGAAAUCUUCUUUGCUCCUUUAAAAUGACUGCAGGGACUGUACAGAUAUGUACAUGAUGAGACAGUAUGUGCCUUCAUCUUCUCCUGCAUCCAUUACACCCAAGCAUCCUGUGAUUGUUUUGAUGUUAGACAGAUUAAAGCCUCUUUGUACACUGUACUUCAGAAGGCGAGGUCACUGACAGAAACCUCAUUGUGAGAACUGUAUCUCUGCACAAAUAUUCAAAUGUUGUUUGAUGCAUUAUGGUAUUAUACAGACAUACAUUAUUAUAUGAUACUAUAACAUAACAGGACAUAUAAAUAUCCCAGCUAUGUACAGAAUGAUAGUGAUUUUACACUGGAGUUGUUUUUACUAAAGCUGUACCAUGUAUAGCAAACUGUAGAUGAAUACAUGAUGAGUUCUAUUCCAAAUUUGUACUGAGAACCCUUGUCUAUUUGAGGAGGAUUUAUGAUUAGUUUGUAAAGUAAGAUGUAUACUUUCAAUCAAAGUGUAUAGUUACACUGAAAUUUUGUGUAUAUAGUGGGAAAUGGCGCUUUAAUUGGUAGAUAUGAAAUUGUCUCAAACAGUGUUCAAGGAAAAAUAAAAAACAAAGGAAAUAAA